AAUAGUUUUAUGCCACAUCAAUACUCUUAUCUUGAAUUUCAGGAUUUUAUCCUGAAAAAAAUCAAAUCCAAAUUAAAAUACUGAAAUUCAGGAUAAGAAUACUGAUGUGGCAUAAAAUUAUU
Gossypium hirsutum (cotton) is the source of this 122-nucleotide non-coding RNA. NCBI's taxonomy places the organism in Eukaryota, Viridiplantae, Streptophyta, Magnoliopsida, Malvales, Malvaceae. The record is from Rfam.